This 72-nucleotide transfer RNA is filed under the name Acidobacteriota bacterium. Its description in RNAcentral is "Acidobacteria bacterium tRNA-Val". It matches the Rfam family "tRNA". From Rfam's summary of the family: Transfer RNA (tRNA) molecules are approximately 80 nucleotides in length. Their secondary structure includes four short double-helical elements and three loops (D, anti-codon, and T loops). RNAcentral also lists the same sequence under 1 other name. The record is from RNAcentral. Lineage: Bacteria; Pseudomonadati; Acidobacteriota.
GCGCGGUUAGCUCAGCGGAAGAGCGCCUGCCUUACACGCAGGUGGUCGCAGGUUCAAAUCCUGCACCGCGCA